CCUACGGGAGGCAGCAGUGGGGAAUAUUGGACAAUGGGCGCAAGCCUGGUCCAGCCAUGCCGCGUGUGUGAAGAAGGCCUUCGGGUUGUAAAGCACUUUUGUUGGGGAAGAAAAGAUCCGGGCUAAUAACCCGGGUUCAUGACGGUACCCAAAGAAUAAGCACCGGCUAACUUCGUGCCAGCAGCCGCGGUAAUACGAAGGGUGCAAGCGUUACUCGGAAUUACUGGGCGUAAAGCGUGCGUAGGCGGUUUGUUAAGUCUGUCGUGAAAGCCCCGGGCUCAACCUGGGAAUGGCGGUGGAUACUGGCAGGCUAGAGUACGGUAGAGGAUGGUGGAAUUCCCGGUGUAGCAGUGAAAUGCGUAGAGAUCGGGAGGAACAUCUAUGGCGAAGGCAGCCAUCUGGACCAGUACUGACGCUGAGGCACGAAAGCGUGGGGAGCAAACAGGAUUAGAUACCCUGGUAGUCCACGCCCUAAACGAUGCGAACUGGACGUUGGGCUCAAUUGAGAGCUCAGUGUCGAAGCUAACGCGUUAAGUUCGCCGCCUGGGGAGUACGGUCGCAAGACUGAAACUCAAAGGAAUUGACGG
This 587-nucleotide ribosomal RNA is filed under the name uncultured bacterium. RNAcentral's name for it is "bacterial SSU rRNA". It matches the Rfam family "Bacterial small subunit ribosomal RNA", at positions 338 to 916 of the family's 1533-position model. The record is from RNAcentral.